UACGUAGGCAGCGAGCGUUGUUCGGAAUUACUGGGCGUAAAGCGUGUGUAGGCGGUGCUCUAAGUUCGGUGUGAAAUCUCCUGGCUCAACUGGGAGGGUGCGCCGGAAACUGGAGUGCUUGAGCGUGGGAGAGGAAAGCGGAAUUCCUGGUGUAGCGGUGAAAUGCGUAGAUAUCAGGAGGAACACCUGUGGUGUAGACGGCUUUCUGGACCAUAGCUGACGCUGAGACACGAAAGCGUGGGUAGCAAACAGG
RNAcentral lists this ribosomal RNA (253 nucleotides) under uncultured bacterium. RNAcentral describes it as "partial 16S ribosomal RNA". It matches the Rfam family "Bacterial small subunit ribosomal RNA", at positions 524 to 776 of the family's 1533-position model. The record is from RNAcentral.